Molecule: ribosomal RNA, 32 nt
Filed under: Diutina mesorugosa
Lineage: Eukaryota; Fungi; Ascomycota; Pichiomycetes; Serinales; Debaryomycetaceae
Description: partial 26S ribosomal RNA
Source: RNAcentral
UCUCAAAUCAGGUAGGACUACCCGCUGAACUU